UACAGAGGGGGCAAGCGUUGUUCGGAAUUACUGGGCGUAAAGGGCGCGUAGGCGGCCUUCUAAGUCGAACGUGAAAUCCCCGGGCUCAACCCGGGAACUGCGUCCGAGACUGGAAGGCUUGAAUCCGGGAGAGGGAUGCGGAAUUCCAGGUGUAGCGGUGAAAUGCGUAGAUAUCUGGAGGAACACCGGUGGCGAAGGCGGCAUCCUGGACCGGUACUGACGCUGAGGCGCGAAAGCGUGGGGAGCAAACAGG
This 253-nucleotide ribosomal RNA is filed under the name uncultured bacterium. RNAcentral's name for it is "partial 16S ribosomal RNA". It matches the Rfam family "Bacterial small subunit ribosomal RNA", at positions 524 to 776 of the family's 1533-position model. The record is from RNAcentral.